GGGUUCAUGCUCGGAUCUUGCUACGUGCUUGAUGAGCUUCAUGAGUAAAGUAAACAAUGACUGAGGCAGAGAGCAGCUUCAGAGGAGAAACAUCCAGCAGUGUGAACAACCUCUUCAUAUGGAGUGAUUUGGCUCACACUAUCAGCGUUUUCUCUCAGUGUUGCAUGACUUUGGGUGAGCACAGAGGUGAACACACUGUCAGCCACGUAUUUAUUUAUUCAUUUUUUAGUUUUUAGUUCUGCUUUUGUACUGGCACUAUACUGGGGCAGCUGUUUACCCUUUCAACACCUUAUUUUCUAUAUUUACAUUUGUAUUGAAUGGACACUUUAUCAUGACUGCCACUUGUUUUACAGAAAGCAAAUUAUUUGUCAUUCUCCAGUGCAGAGCCUUUACUUUUAUUUAUACAGCCGCUUUAUUUCAUUUGAGUUUGUUUGUUCAAGGUUUUCAAAAAUGUGAUGAAGGUUCGCAAAACUAAAAGAGAGCUUUCUUGAAAGCCACAUGUAUAAGCUCUCAAAUACUUUUUGAAUUUUGUUUCUAUCGACUACAGAGGCCGAGAUAGCAGCUUUUUUGUAAACCUUAACACUUCAGAAAACACUUGGAGGGGUGCUCGCCCGGGGAGUAAUUUGGUCUAGAACCGCCACUGGAAGCAACAAGCGCAUUGGGACAGUAUGCCCAAGCACACUCCUGGCCAGAUUGCCCCCCCAUGCCUUUCCACCAUUGCAUCUGAUAGCAGCGACGCUACACAGAAUUCGACAGAACAAUCAGAGCCUCCUGCUAGUGGCCCUAAACUGGCCGGGAAGGCUCUGGUUUCCACAGAUGUACAAGCUCCUGACUGGGGCUCUGUGGCAUUUGCCCAGGAGGUGGGACCUGCUCUUGCAGCUAGGGGGGGUCCCAUUUUACAUCUAUGUCCAGAAUGCCUGCAGCUAUGGGUAUGGCCCAUGGGGUCCUUGGGCACUACUAAGCGCUUGUGAUGAGGCUGUCGUUCAAACAAUUGAGGACUCCAGUGCACUCUUCACAAGGGCACUCUGUGCCAACAGGUGGAAGCUUUUUUAAGAAUCAUGUAGGGCCCACAAAGAGCUGCCUGACCAUGCCCCUGUGCCUAUGAUGCUGUGUUUUUUGAAGUCCUUGCUGGAGAAGAGGCGCUCUGCCACUCAGAAUCUUGUGAAAAGAUUUUGUAGGGAUGUUCUGCAGGGUGACGCUGACUUAAAUAGGUUACAUUAUGCGUCAUCGCUGGGCAUAAAACCUUGGUGAUACUAAGUACUCCACCUGCGCAUGUGACAGAUAUCCAGUAUUAAGAACUGCCUCUGAUGGUCAUCCAGGAAUCAUAGAAGCACAGUUAGAUUUGUUACUCUCUUAUUUUAUAUCAUGCAUAUGUCAAGAACUGGCUAAACAAAAAGGAACUCAAAUGCAGGACCAGGAGACCAAUUCUGUGUGGCAAAACAUCAGGAUUUAUUUACAGUCCAAGUUUAGUACAUGAGGUAGAAAUCAAACAGGCAGAGGUAUCCAAAACACAAGGCAAAAGACAGGGUCAAAAAAAUAUCAAAGUCAAUAACAGGCAGGCUAUGAAACAAACAAACAUGCUGGUAAGUGACUAUAAAGAUCAACAAACUGGCGAUGAGAGUGAGAGACAUGGGGUUAAAUACAAGAGGUGAUGAAGGUGAUGGGAAACAGGUGGGGAUGAACAGGGAUGAUCAGGAGGCGGGUGUGACAAGAUGGGGGCUGGGCAGACAUCUAGGAAACAAAGACAAGGGUUAGUGAUAAAAAUAAAACAGGAAACACAAAUACGGAUGAAAUAAAAGUAACUCGACUGUGAUUAUGACAGCAUACUUGAUCAAAAAAAUUCUGAUGAAUAAUCAUCAACUUUGUGUUUUGAAUUUGAGAAUCAAUUUUGGCUAGCCCAAAGAAUUUAGGUUUGCCUUUAGGGUGACCUGCUUGGACAGGAUAAUUCAUGCAACAUUUAUGAAUUGACUGAUGUGUAAAAUUAUGUUAAUUGUACUUUCUGUCAGACAGAACAAGGUACCAAGCAAUAAUGACAAAUGCUACAAAAAUUAGCAUGUAGGUUAUGUAAGGUGGUGUUUGUAGAGUGAGUCUGUCCCCAGUUUGAUUAGAUAUUCUGUAUUUUGUCUUAACUCAUGAAUGAACUGUACAAAGAGAAGUCAUUUCAGGUAAAGAACUCAGAUGAGGUGAGACUACUGUAGUCUGAAUAUUCACUGCAGAACAUUUGGUAUUCCCACAUGGGAUCUAUCUCCUUAAAUGCAACAUAUUUGCAUAACAAAAGCAUAAAUAUACUGUUGUUGGUUGGUAAAGUCAGCUACAUUUUUCAUACUCCCUAAAUUCCUAAAACAGCUCUUCUGGGGUCCACUGGUGUUUUGCAUGAAGGUGCUUUUGAGUGAAAAUGUAACAGUAUAAACAGCAGGCAAAGGAGCACUAAUGCAUACUUAAAUUGUAAUAUUCUACCAAAAUACAGAAAUAAGGACAUUAAACUCAGAGUUCACGAUACGUUUCCCUGGCGGUUUGGGUGUGAUGGCUUCUUUCAGAUGGCUGAUCAAUAUCAAUUUGGUUACCGCAUCCAGAGUAGUUUGAGAAAAUCUGAACAUCAUCUAAAACCCCAUCUUGCAUCAUUACAGCAUUUUAAAUCUGAGUAGAUGCAGAUGCAUUGACAUUUGGAUGCUUUAAAAUGAUUUGCAUCUCUUCAUGCAAUAGCAUGACAGAGUGAACAACACCCAUGCAGUCUCUCAAAGAAAUGCAUACACUUCAUUUCCUUACACAGAUGGAAAGCCCCACUGCAUUUUCAACAUAUAGAUAAUCUAAUUGGAUACGACUGCGAUUGGUUCAUCUCACAAGCAUAAGAGUGUUGCAUGUGAGGUAUUCAGCAUGGGCUGUGGUAGACGCUUUUAGCACUGGGGCAUAGAUGAAGUACCUAUGGUCAAUUUCAGCCUAUUGAAAUGGCAGCAGAGUGAUAGAACUCACUAUACACUUGACACAACACUCACUAACAUCUCAAAAGAAGCUGGCUCUUAUUGUUGUUUGAUGUCUGUCUUCUUAAGAGGUCAACAGCCAGGAUUAAUAAUGCUAGACCUGAAACCAUACUCAAAUGGUCUGAAGCCAUUGCUGUAGUCCAAGGGUUACUUUGAAUUUACUUGACUUAUCAUAUGAUUCUCUUUUUAUCCUAGAAUCUGGGUAUAUUACCAGUCUAUCUAUAUUUCAGUUUGGGCUAUAUACAUGUUGCUGUUUUUUUCUUUUAUUAUUAUUAUUAUUAUUAUUAUUAUUAUUAUUAUUACAUCAUUUUAUUAUUUUUUGUGUGUAUUGUGGUAUCAUCAUCUUAACAGCUAUAACACAUUUUGUACUCAUCUUAGACUGGUGUCUUUGAAAACCUUUAUUUCAGCCUCAGUCUAAAACACUAAGAUUUAGUUAUGGUCUCUUCAAGACUCCUCAGGACUCUUAAGGUCACCUCCCUUAAUUUUCAUGCAAUAAAAUCCUGUCUCUCUAUUUGAAAUAAGAAACUCUAAGACUCACCCACUUAAAUAUAUAAUCUCAGUGCACUGAAAUGUGUUACACGCCUAAAAACAUCUCAACAAAAGCAACACCCACACAAACAUGAAUCUCUUUACCUAAUCCCAAAACAGAAAACAUGAGAAAAGGGACGCAAAAAUUAGAAGUCUGCUCUUCUCUCCUGCUUAAAGUAUUUUUUAAAUUUACUGGGACUCCUGUUCCAAUAAUUGUCGCUGUUAUCCCUAACUUUCAAAGAAGUGAAGAAAAGAGGAAAGAUGAUGUGUUUUCCUACGUUUAUGCUGUAAAACCAGCACUGUUUUAAUCAGCAGCAGACCCUAAAGCCAGACCACAGUUUAGAUUGCACUGUGUUCCCUUUAAGAAAGAUGUCAGACUGUGGUGAUGAGAAGAUCAUUUGAUACCUCAUGGCUGCAUUUAGUCAGGCCCUGAUAUCUUGAAUGUGACUCAAGAGAAAGGUGAGACGGGCACGCUCCACAUGCUGUCUUCGCUUAUCAUUAGUCAGAUUUUAAAAAAAGACAACUCUGGCAUCAACCACUGCAAAAUGAAUCACAUUCUGUUGGGAGACCUUAUUAUUUAGCUCAACCAGCAAAUAAAUUACCCACAGGCACAGACUGCAUCGCUUUAUUAACUUUGCCAACCCCCACUCCUCUCCAGCACCCUCCUCCUGGCUAAAUAUGGGCAUUCCUGGCUGCAAAAGCCAACAUGGCAGCAGCCAAAAGCCCAGCUCAAUGUGUGAUGUUAUUAUUUAUACAGUCCAUUGACUGUCCUCAACCUGAAUCAGCCUGACAGGAAAUCUGUCUGAACAGGAUGGUGGCCAGACAUAUGUGCCAGAACAAAUGUAACCUGAGCUCACAGAUUUGUCUGCUUCCCCAGCAAGCACACAGCUCUCUCCUGCAUGAUUUGAAUUAAAUGUUUUUUCAACAAACCCCUUUCAUUAUUGAAUAGAAGUCAGCAUGUAACAUGUUUGUCAAUCUGCCAGACUGAUUAUUUGUCUGUUACUUGGUGUAUUUCUGUAAAAAACAAAAUAGUCUGAUAGAAAUGAGUAGAGUAUUACAAAAAUAACCUGGCUGGUCUGCAUGAAAAUAAUAACAAAAGUCACAUAAAUGAUUUCAAGCAUUUUUGUCAUAUUUUUCUAUUGCUAUAAAAAUCGGACCUAAUAUCCAAGUGCAGUGGCGGUUCUAGACUAAAAUACUCCCCGGGCAAGACCCCCUCCAACCUAGAAUUUUGAACAGAUAGUUUUGUAUUAUUAUGUAGUAUUAUUAUGAUUCUAACAACAAACAUAAAAUAUUUCUCAAUUGCACAAAUCCUUCAUUAGAAAAAACACAAUCCUGAGGGCCAUUUUGAGAAGGGCCCCCAGAUCCUGAGGUUUUCUGAAGUGUUGAAGUUUACAAAAAAGCUGAUAUCUCAGCCUCUGUAGUAGAUAGAAACAAAUUUCAAAAAGUAUUUGAGAGCUUAUACACGUGGCUUUCAAGAAAGCUGUAUUUGAGUUUUGCAAUUAAAGUGGCUGUAUAAAUAAAAGUAAAGGCUCUGCACUGGAGAAUAACAAACUAUUUGCUUUCUGUAAAAAAAGUGGCAUUCAUGAUAAAGUGUCCAUUCAAUACAAAUGUAAAUAUAAAAAAAUAAAGUGUUGAAAGGGUAUACAGCUGCCCCAGUAAAGUGCCUGUACAAAAGUAGCACUAAAAACUAAAAAUGAAUAAAGUAAUAUGUGGCUGACAGUGCGUUCAUGUCUGUGCUCACCCAAAGUCAUGCAACACUCACAGACAACGCAGAUAGUGUGAACCCAACACUCCAUAUGAAGAGGUUGUUCACACUGCUGGAUGUUUCUCCUCUGAAGCUGCUCUCUGCCUACGUCAUUGUUUACUUUACUCUUGAAGCAUGUAGCAAGAGCCGAGCAUGAAUCUGAGCACUUUAUUUGCCUAUUCGCCACAACUCCAGAAAUGAUUAAAAAACUACAGAAUGUCACAAAAUGACGUAUCUGCGCCCCCGGCUUGGAAGGCUGAUAUGCGGACAUACUGUCCCGGUUUAAAUGGGUUAAGUGAUUGAUGCCGAUGACGGCAAGGCCAGUGAGCUGUUCCUGAGACAUGGUUGACCUUAGGUACGACGUUAUCAACUUCAUUUUUGAGAAGCUCCUCUCUGCUUGAGCCACCAUGACUGGCAGCUCGAGAGCAAUCCUGAGAGCAGAACUGUCCCCCGCGACCCACUCCUCGCCUUGUCUCAUACAGUCUGUCAGCCUCUGUGCGGCACCUUCGCAGCAAGCAGGGGCACCUACAGCAGCAGGGAGCGCCAAUUUGACAAGACUUAAUACAAAACCGCUUUUCGGUGCAGAUUUAUUAUUAUUAUCUUUUUUUUAUUAUUUUUUUGGAAGUGCUCGUGCUGCCCCCCAUGAGUCAUGACACAAAUGCCGCCCCGGGCGGCAGCCCUGUUCGCCCGUGCCUAGAACCGCUACUGUCCAAGUGCAAUAGGAAAGCUUUCUUUUCACACCCUGCAGUCUAGAACAGGUGCUGUAUGACUUCUGCAUUUGAUAAGCAUUAAUGCAGAAAGCUGAUCAAAACUAGUUAAAUUCUCCUCCUUUCCCCUAAAACCACUUACUUAUACAGGCAUUUCCUCUAACUCUGCCUCAUGUUUAAUACUCUUUUUUCUUCCAAGAAGUGGAUAAAAAAUUCAUGCCUUGUCUGCAGAUAUCAAGUGAAAUCAUUAUUCAGCCUGAGUGCUCAGUUAAAUCAGUGUGUUGGUCCUCUGUCCAGUAAGGAGGUGCACUAAAGGACUGCAGAAGAGGAGUUUCCAGCCCAAGCUUAAUAACCUACAUUUAUAUUUAAAGAAAAAAUUAAAUCUAAAUAUACAGGGAAAGUAUGAGAGGAUUUUACAUUAAAAAAACAAACAAACAAAAAAAAAAACAGCUUUGCCCACACUUUGUCACUUUUAAGCAGAAACUCCUGGGACAGUGUCUUCCACUGAAAAUUUGCCCAGAGUUUGAGGCUGAAGGUUGGUCAUUGGGUACACAGUCCCAGUUUUCCUCUUAUACUCAGAACUAUCACUAAUGAGCAAAACUUGUAUUUAUUGAAUUUUUAACAGAGCUUAUGUGAAUGUAACAUGACUGUUCUGUGCAGGUUGAAAUAAUAAUACUGUAGGUCAUAAUUUUCUCUCAUCUCUGUCUUUUGCACAGACAUAAUAGGCACAAUCAGGACUAACAGCUGAAUCACAAUUGCUGUAAACAGUAAACGCUGGUUACACCUGGUAAAAGAGCAUCUCAAUUUUGAUAGCUGAAGAGAGCAAGACUUAGUUUGGCUAAAAACCAUGCCAUGUUGACCCCCCCCCCCCCCCUUUUUUUUUUUUGUUUAUUUGUUUAUUUUAAACUGAAAACACAACUGUGAAAAGUCAGAUUGUCUUUUAUUUAAGGGGGUUUGCUCAUUGGUGGAGUCAACCAUGCAGCAAACAACAUAAUCAGCUUUGGAAAAACGGAACAAUACAAUAAAGUGACUUACUAUUAGUGCGCCCCAUGAAUGGGGACCACAGUCCCCGUAGCGGUUGCCGGUUCGACCGUGUGCUGCAUGUCCUCCUCCCUCUCUCUCUGUCUCCCCACAUUUCACCCUGUCCUAUCAAUAAAAGGCAACCCCCCCAAAAAAAUAAAAUAAAAUAAAAUAAUGCCAAUAAAGUGACUUACUGUAAAAAAUAAAGUUCAUCUUGCUGUGACACACAGGAGCACUUCUAUCCUACAGAGAAGAUCACUGUGUUCUCAGACAAUCCUUAUUCAGUCUCUCAUAAAUAAAUAAAUGUAGUUAGUGAUGAUUUAUGCUUAAACUUCAGUGAAAUACUGUGUUUUGUAUUGUUAGCUGACUAUGCUCAAUAGAGGCUGUCAUCAUUGUUUUGGUUUGUUGACCAAUCAGAGGCUGUAUCUGCAGUUUGCUGACCUUAUAAGAUCAAUGGAAAGGCCAGUAUAAAAAUAUUAGAGAUAGAGCAGUUUUGUCAGGGUGUGUUGUCUGUAUUUUUUAAAACAUUUUUUAAUGAUACCUACCUUAGGACAACAGAUGAAAUUUAGCAACUGUGCAAACUCCUGCAUCUUUACUUUGAUGCUUUUUGCUGAUAUGUUGCUGAUAUCAUUGUGCAUUGUCCUAUUCAAAUAAAUAAAUAAAUGUCUCCAUCCUGUUCAGCUUAUUCUAGUUUCAGUACAUCUGCACUCUUCUCUGCAGUAACACUUGAGUGCUUCAUUUUCACAAGUUAAUUCAAAAACAAAGGAAAAUUGACAAAUAUGUUAAACCAUCAACUUUUAUUGUUAAUUCAAUGUUUAUUUAUGUUUUUUUUUUUAUUUUCAACCAAAGUUGCCUUCUGCAUAGAAACAAGAUUUGGUCUCCAAAGAAUCUUGUCAAAAAACAAACAAACAAAUAAAUAAAAGGGGUCAUUUUACUACCCAGGUUGUCUCGUCGAGGAACAUGAUAAUUAAAGUGUUUUCUGUGUCUUGACAUACUUAAGUGGAAAUGGUCAUAUAUGCACAUAUAGUGUGGCGCCGCACGAGGUGGCAGCUUGUUACAGCAGCUCCCGUGUGUUUUAUACUUUUGUAUCUUUUUCUCUUUCAUUUCUGUCCUGACACAUGUGUGUCUUCACCAGAUAGUGUCUAACUACUGGAUACACCGACUUUUGCCUUUUUUUAACUUUUCUGGCCGUUCUUCUGGACACUUUUUGGCACAUCAGUACUCAUGGCAACGGAGAUUCACAUACGCGACGGUGAGCGCUUUGUUUACACGCGCGAUCAGCUGAUUGUGCUGAGUAAACCUGUGCUGCUGCCCGGAGCGAGGCCCGACAUCCCGGAGGAGCUGAGGAGGAGGUGCCGGGGGUGCAGAGCAGGAGCCAAGCUGAGGGCAAGGAAGAGGAGAUUUCGCCCAGCUGUACUGGCGAUUAUCACGGGGAACGUGAGGUCUUUGGGGAAUAAGACGGACGAGCUAGCCGCGCUGAGAAAGACUUAGAUGUAAUACCGUGAGUGUAGUGUCUUUUGUUUCACUGAGACAUGGCUGCACUCGCAUAUCCGGGAUCACAGCGUGGUGACACCCGGCUUCAGGGUUGUUCGGGCGGACAGAGACAUUAUUAGCAGCGGUAAGAAGAAGGGAGGAGGGAUUGCACUGUAUGUGAGUGAGAGGUGGUGUAAUCUCAGACAUGUGCAUGUGAAGGAACGUCCCUGUGAACCGGAUAUUGAACUGUUCGCUGUUGGAAUGCGUCUGUAUUACCUGCCCCGGGAAUUCACGUCUGCCAUUGUGAUCGCUGCUUACAUCCCCCUAUCAGCUGAUGCACCGACGGCCUAUGACAUCAUCACCUCCACCUUUGCCAGGGUACAGACUCAACAUCCCAAUGCUUUCACUGUUAUUACUGUGUGUCCCCCUUGUUAAGAGGCAGCCUAUUCACACCAUGACGAUGAGGAGGUGGACUGAGGAGGCUGCUGAGGCACUGCAGGACUGCUUUGAAUCAACGGACUGGGAUGUACUCUGUGAGCCACACGAGGAGGACAUCAACAACAUGACAGACUGCAUCACAGAAUAUAUCAGGUUCUGUGAACACUCCACCAUCCCAAACCGGACUGUA
This is a non-coding RNA of Xyrichtys novacula (pearly razorfish), 9078 nucleotides long. NCBI's taxonomy places the organism in Eukaryota, Metazoa, Chordata, Actinopteri, Labriformes, Labridae. The record is from the annotation of a GenBank genome assembly.